This 129-nucleotide small nuclear RNA is filed under the name Zalophus californianus (California sea lion). Its description in RNAcentral is "U4 spliceosomal RNA (ENSZCAG00015014979.1)". It matches the Rfam family "U4 spliceosomal RNA". Rfam says of the family: U4 small nuclear RNA (U4 snRNA) is a component of the major U2-dependent spliceosome. The structure of U4 snRNA from yeast and human has been reported. U4 snRNA presents a k-turn RNA motif in the 5p-SL related to recognition of Snu13 protein. RNAcentral also lists the same sequence under 1 other name. The record is from RNAcentral. Lineage: Eukaryota; Metazoa; Chordata; Mammalia; Carnivora; Otariidae.
AGCUUUGCGCAGUGGCAGUAUCAUAGCCAAUGAGGUUUAUCCGAGGCACGAUUAUUGCUAAUUAAAUUACCUCAAAAUUAAAAUUCCAUUCUCAAAAGACUAUAAAUUUAAUGCAGUUAUAAAAUAAUA